RNAcentral lists this ribosomal RNA (468 nucleotides) under uncultured bacterium. RNAcentral's name for it is "partial 16S ribosomal RNA". It matches the Rfam family "Bacterial small subunit ribosomal RNA", at positions 28 to 507 of the family's 1533-position model. The record is from RNAcentral.
GACGAACGCUGGCGGCGUGCUUAACACAUGCAAGUCGAACGGAAAGGCCCGGCUGUUGUGUGGUGCCCGAGUGGGUAACGGGUGAGUGAGGCGCGAGUAACCUGCCCUUGACUUUGGGAUAGCUCACAGAAGGAGAGGAUAGUACCUACUACGAGCUCCUGCAGCACGGUGUCGGGUGGAGAGUAACGGCGGUUGGGACUGGUCUCGCGGCUUUUCAGCUUGUGGGUGGGGUAGUGGCUUACCAAGGCUUUGACGGGGCGCCGGCCUGAGAGGGUGACCGGCCCCAUUGGGCCUGAGGUACGACCAAGAGGGAUACGGGCGGCAGCGGUGGGAAAUAUUGCACAAUAGGCGGCAGCCUGAUGCAGCGCCUCCGCGUUCGGAAUGACGGCUUUCGGGUUGUAAACCGCUUUCGCCUGUGACGAAGAGGGAGUGACGGUAACGGAUAAAGAAGCAACGGCUAACUACGUG